This 488-nucleotide ribosomal RNA is filed under the name uncultured bacterium. RNAcentral describes it as "SSU rRNA". It matches the Rfam family "Bacterial small subunit ribosomal RNA", at positions 26 to 518 of the family's 1533-position model. The record is from RNAcentral.
AGGAUUAACGCUGGCGGCGUGCAUGAAACAUGCAAGUCGAGCGCGGUGUGAUGCGGGGUAACCCAAUUCACAUCUAGCGGCGAACGGGUGAGUAACACGUGAGCAACCUACCUUUGAGUUGGGGAUAGCCCUGGGAAACCAGGAUUAAUACCCGAUGUGGUCACAACAGGACAUCCUGAUGUGAGUAAAGGCGUAAGCCGCUCAAUGACGGGCUCGCGGCCUAUUAGCUUGUUGGUGGGGUAACGGCCUACCAAGGCGAUGAUGGGUAGCUGGUCUGAGAGGACGAUCAGCCACACUGGGACUGAGACACGGCCCAGACUCCUACGGGAGGCAGCAGUUAGGAAUUUUCCGCAAUGGGCGAAAGCCUGACGGAGCAACGCCGCGUGAGUGAUGAAGACCUUCGGGUUGUAAAGCUCUGUCGGAGGGAAGAACACAAUGACGGUACCCUACCAACGAAACGCCCGGACUAACUACGUGCCAGCAGCCGC